Molecule: microRNA, 21 nt
Filed under: Eptesicus fuscus (big brown bat)
Lineage: Eukaryota; Metazoa; Chordata; Mammalia; Chiroptera; Vespertilionidae
Description: efu-miR-9198d
Source: miRBase by way of RNAcentral
ACUUGCACCCGCUGAUGGUGC